AUGCUCUCAUUCUCACUCAUCCCUUACUCAUCCUCUCUGCAACUCUUCCAACAACCUCAUCACUAUCUAUCUAUGAGACCUUUAAUUUGCUUAAGCUUAAACAUCUAAUCUACUUCAUAAUGCUUGUCCGAUCCAUAUCCUCCUCUCACUGUUUUUCUUUACAACCUCCGCAACCGAAACCAAUACCUCAGCCGGCCACACCAUCCCCUUUCCCACUCACCACCAUUUCAACGUUAAACAAUCCGUUUUGCGGGCACCCAGCGUCUCAAUAUUCGACACAUACUACGACUUAAACGGGUUCGUUACGGUUCUGGUACCAACCGUAUCGGUUUUUCUUAUGGAUGGUCCGAUCCUGACCAUUCCAGGUACGAACAUUUUUAUACCAGUUGAUGAAAGGGGCACGUUUUGCUUUGCAUUUGCUCCAUCCCCAACCGGACUAUCCAUCAUAGGGAACAUCAAGGCAUCUAGAUUUCUUUUGACAGCUCAAAUGAUUUUCCGAUCUAUCUUCUUACCAAAACAACCAAACUUGUCCGCAACACAACUCUAAUCUAGAAAGAGAAUAUGUCAAUCAAGGGGCGGACUCGGCCAGGAAAAGCAAUUGCUAUUUAUACUAAAAGAAAAGUUGGAGAGAAAUAUGGCAUGAAGUGGAGAUAAUCCAAUGUAACACAUGCUACGUGAGUACGUGGGAGGCAGCUGAGUGAAGAUCCAACACAUUCGGUGAAGAAGUGAAACAUGCAGCAUGCGACUAUUAUUUAAUACUAAUCAUAAUAAUAUUAGUACUUGAUAGAUUAUUGUACCAUAUGAUGGAUGAUUAAGAGAAUGAAUUGAGUGAUAUUAUAUUUGUAUUUCACUGCAUGUAUUUUAAAUUCCCUAAUGAUUAAGUCAAUAAUAUGUAAUGUCUUUUUUUUGGGUAACGUUUUGUGAUGAUUUACAUUUUUUUUCAAGUAAUAAAUUUAGAUUUACAUCUCA
Ipomoea nil (Japanese morning glory) is the source of this 969-nucleotide long non-coding RNA. RefSeq lists it as uncharacterized. NCBI's taxonomy places the organism in Eukaryota, Viridiplantae, Streptophyta, Magnoliopsida, Solanales, Convolvulaceae. The transcript is spliced from 4 exons. The record is from RefSeq and is a predicted model, not a curated record.